This 527-nucleotide ribosomal RNA is filed under the name uncultured bacterium. RNAcentral describes it as "bacterial SSU rRNA". It matches the Rfam family "Bacterial small subunit ribosomal RNA", at positions 984 to 1509 of the family's 1533-position model. The record is from RNAcentral.
ACAUCCAGAGAACUUAGCAGAGAUGCUUUGGUGCCUUCGGGAACUCUGAGACAGGUGCUGCAUGGCUGUCGUCAGCUCGUGUUGUGAAAUGUUGGGUUAAGUCCCGNAACCGAGCGCAACCCUUUAUCCUUUGUUGCCAGCGAUUCGGUCGGGAACUCAAAGGAGACUGCCGGUGAUAAACCGGAGGAAGGUGGGGAUGACGUCAAGUCAUCAUGGCCCUUACGGCCAGGGCUACACACGUGCUACAAUGGCGCAUACAAAGAGAAGCGACCUCGCGAGAGCAAGCGGACCUCAUAAAGUGCGUCGUAGUCCGGAUUGGAGUCUGCAACUCGACUCCAUGAAGUCGGAAUCGCUAGUAAUCGUAGAUCAGAAUGCUACGGUGAAUACGUUCCCGGGCCUUGUACACACCGCCCGUCACACCAUGGGAGUGGGUUGCAAAAGAAGUAGGUAGCUUAACCUUCGGGAGGGCGCUUACCACUUUGUGAUUCAUGACUGGGGUGAAGUCGUAACAAGGUAAGCGUACGUGU